UGCCCCGUGCCCCGGGCUCCGCCGCUCCCGGGAGCGUUGCCCGGGCCCGCAGCUCUCGGCGCCCUGUCCUGGGCUCUGUGAGACGCUUCGAGGCUCUGAAGGAGCCGAAGGGAGGGAUGAAAGAGCGAAACGGGAGGAACGUCCCCGGUUUGUGCUGAGCCCUUACAAAGAGCCUGUGGCCUGAGGAAAUGCAAACCUGCCUGGAAGUGCUUGCGAAGUCCUGGUUACCGGGAAUCCCCCUUUUCAAAUCGGGCAAGUUCUAGAUGCCCAGGAGGUCUGUAAAAUUGAUUUAGUGUUUUCUGGGUAAGUUUCAUCCAACAUCCCUUUUACCUUCCAGCUUGUUGACCUGCUGGAAGGAAGGACCUAGCGCGUCUGAAGGUAGAACUCGUGGCCGGUUCUCCAGAAAGGAUGUGUUCUAAAGCGGUGCAGCUGUGUGGUGUGUGGCUGGCUCUUCUGCAGAUGUGCAGGUCUAUCUCUUCCAGUUCAAAGCCCUCUUGGUGCACCACUAGCUCCAUCUAUUGCCAGUCAGUGGCUGGCGGAGAUUCACAUAAAUGCUGAUUUCUCCCUCAGCUUUUUAGCCCUUCAGUGCAGGUGUUCUCAGGGCCACUGAACCCUGGCACCUCCCCUGUGUUCCCCUGGGCAGAUGAUGGGGCAAUGAGGAGGUCACUGGGUGUGCACCCACUGUCCUGGGCUUGUGGGAACAUCAUGUGGUGGUCCUGUUUGAAGAACUUGAUAAGUCUAAAAGCAUUUAGAAGAAAGCACACUGGGGAAAAGUGUCAAGGUGAGUGAAUGUUUCAGGUUCUGGGCCGAUAGGAAGGAGAGGCUGUGGGCUCUGCAGACACAGCAAACUGCUCAGCAGGCUCCUUAGCAUGGAAAGGUUGUCUUUGCACUGUCUGAAAUAUCCUCUUGGAAAAUCUAGGGCCACCCACUUUUCAGAUCUUACUUGAACCUGGUAUGAUGGACUGUGCUGAAGCCUGAAGAAUGCAAACUUAUCUUUCUUUUUUAAAGCAGUCCUGGAGUCUGUUUCAGGCCCUAGCAAAGCUGUUUAUCAUGUACAGAAAAUCUGACAGGAAGUUAAAUAGCACUCCAGACGCAUUUUUUUAAAACUUACUUGGGAUUCAAGGAAUGUGAGUGUUUUUUCUCAACAGGUGGGCAUUCAGAUUGUGUGUGUCUGUAAUGUAUGAACCCCCAGGUAUUCUGGUGUCUGCAUGUAUACCCUGCCUGGUUUCCCAGUGUUGCAUUCAGUGCUUUCUUUGUGCCUUAGUGCCAAAUGACAUCUUCAAUUCUUGGGCCUUAUUUAAAGAGAUGUUGGGCAACUUGGAAUGUUUAACAAAAGCUUCAGUACAAUUUUACUCUAGGAGGCUGGUACCUGCUCUGCAGCAAGAGACAAACACCCUGCUUCUUCAGGGUAACAAGUGUAAAUCAUCAGCUUUUUGCUCUCUAGAAUAAGGGAACUGCAAAAAGUAAAGUUUUAGCAGAUGAGGCUUUAGAUCCUGGUUUUGUGUAAGGGUUAGAGUGAUGGGCAGAGGGUUCCCAUUGUUCCAGCACUCUGAGGGAAUAACUUGGCACCUAGUGCUGAUUGUUGCAGGUUUUGGAAGGACAGCCAGCCCUGCUGGCCACAGCCAGCCCAGCAGCAGAGCCUGCAGCACCUGCAGGGACACGGAUCCCAGGGUAGUGCUGGGGGGUGUGGGG
This is a long non-coding RNA of Apus apus (common swift), 1692 nucleotides long. RefSeq lists it as uncharacterized. The record is from RefSeq and is a predicted model, not a curated record. The transcript has 3 exons. NCBI's taxonomy places the organism in Eukaryota, Metazoa, Chordata, Aves, Apodiformes, Apodidae.